CGAGUCGUUGAUUUCACACUGCCGAGAAAAGCCUCUAGAUAGAAAAUAGGUGCCCGUACCGCAAACCGACACAGGUAGUCAAGAUGAGAAUUCUAAGGUGAGCGAGCGAACUCUCGUUAAGGAACUCGGCAAAAUGACCCCGUAACUUCGGGAGAAGGGGUGCUCUUUAGGGUUAACGCCCAGAAGAGCCGCAGUGAAUAGGCCCAAGCGACUGUUUAUCAAAAACACAGGUCUCUGCUAAACCGUAAGGUGAUGUAUAGGGGCUGACGCCUGCCCGGUGCUGGAAGGUUAAGAGGAGUGGUUAGCUUCUGCGAAGCUACGAAUCGAAGCCCCAGUAAACGGCGGCCGUAACUAUAACGGUCCUAAGGUAGCGAAAUUCCUUGUCGGGUAAGUUCCGACCCGCACGAAAGGCGUAACGAUUUGGGCACUGUCUCAACGAGAGACUCGGUGAAAUCAUAGUACCUGUGAAGAUGCAGGUUACCCGCGACAGGACGGAAAGACCCCGUGGAGCUUUACUGUAGCCUGAUAUUGAAAUUCGGCACAGCUUGUACAGGAUAGGUAGGAGCCUUUGAAACGUGAGCGCUAGCUUACGUGGAGGCGCUGGUGGGAUACUACCCUAGCUGUGUUGGCUUUCUAACCCGCACCACUUAUCGUGGUGGGAGACAGUGUCAGGCGGGCAGUUUGACUGGGGCGGUCGCCUCCUAAAAGGUAACGGAGGCGCUCAAAGGUUCCCUCAGAAUGGUUGGAAAUCAUUCAUAGAGUGUAAAGGCAUAAGGGAGCUUGACUGCGAGACCUACAAGUCGAGCAGGGUCGAAAGACGGACUUAGUGAUCCGGUGGUUCCGCAUGGAAGGGCCAUCGCUCAACGGAUAAAAGCUACCCCGGGGAUAACAGGCUUAUCUCCCCCAAGAGUUCACAUCGACGGGGAGGUUUGGCACCUCGAUGUCGGCUCAUCGCAUCCUGGGGCUGUAGUCGGUCCCAAGGGUUGGGCUGUUCGCCCAUUAAAGCGGUACGCGAGCUGGGUUCAGAACGUCGUGAGACAGUUCGGUCCCUAUCCGUCGUGGGCGUAGGAAAUUUGAGAGGAGCUGUCCUUAGUACGAGAGGACCGGGAUGGACAUACCUCUGGUGUACCAGUUGUCGUGCCAACGGCAUAGCUGGGUAGCUAUGUGUGGACGGGAUAAGUGCUGAAAGCAUCUAAGCAUGAAGCCCCCCUCAAGAUGAGAUUUCCCAACUUCGGUUAUAAGAUCCCUCAAAGAUGAUGAGGUUAAUAGGUUCGAGGUGGAAGCAUGGUGACAUGUGGAGCUGACGAAUACUAAUCGAUCGAAGACUUAAUCAAAA
This 1336-nucleotide ribosomal RNA is filed under the name Staphylococcus aureus. Its description in RNAcentral is "partial 23S ribosomal RNA". It matches the Rfam family "Bacterial large subunit ribosomal RNA", at positions 1587 to 2925 of the family's 2925-position model. The record is from RNAcentral. Lineage: Bacteria; Bacillati; Bacillota; Bacilli; Caryophanales; Staphylococcaceae.